RNAcentral lists this ribosomal RNA (333 nucleotides) under uncultured eukaryote. RNAcentral describes it as "partial 18S ribosomal RNA". It matches the Rfam family "Eukaryotic small subunit ribosomal RNA", at positions 1470 to 1796 of the family's 1831-position model. The record is from RNAcentral.
CCCUUAGAUGUCCUGGGCUGCACGCGCGCUACACUGAUGUGUCCAGUAAGCACCUAACCUCUUCCGAAAGGAACGGGUAACCUUUGCAAAGCACAUCGUGAUGGGGAUAGAUUAUUGCAAUUAUUAGUCUUGAACGAGGAAUUCCUAGUAAGCACAAGUCAUCAGCUCGCGUUGAUUACGUCCCUGCCCUUUGUACACACCGCCCGUCGCUACUACCGAUUGAACGGUUUAGUGAGGGCCUCGGAUUGGUCUCGGCCCGCUCUUUACCGGGCGGCGCCGUUGGUCGAGAAGACGCUCGAACUUGAUCGUUUAGAGGAAGUAAAAGUCGUAACA